RNAcentral lists this ribosomal RNA (200 nucleotides) under uncultured bacterium. RNAcentral describes it as "partial 16S ribosomal RNA". It matches the Rfam family "Bacterial small subunit ribosomal RNA", at positions 8 to 210 of the family's 1533-position model. The record is from RNAcentral.
AGAGUUUGAUCCUGGCUCAGGACGAACGCUGGCGGCGUGCUUAACACAUGCAAGUCGAGCGGAAAGGCCCUUCGGGGUACUCGAGCGGCGAACGGGUGAGUAACACGUGAGGAACCUGCCCUUGGCUCUGGGAUAGCUUCGGGAAACCGGGAUUAAUACCGGAUAUGACUGUUGCCGGCAUCGGUGAUGGUGGAAAGUUU